CUUCCUUCUGGUGGGUUCGCGGUCCGGCUGGCUCAGGAGCGAAGCUGCAGACCUUCACGGAACUUGUGAGUUAUGGCAAAAGAUAUUAUGACUCCCAUGCUGCGGAUGAAGAAGUUGAUGCCCGUGACAGGUAAUCCCCUUCAGUGACAGCAGAGUGACCCAGGCCACCUUCUUUGAGGAUUUCGGAGCUGCAGCCCACAGCCAGGGCCAUGGUGGACUCAGCUCUACACCCCGUGCCCAUGAGUCUCUGCGACUAACGAUUUCCCCAGACGCUCCCAGGUUCCUCCUGAUCUGCAGCAUUGCCGUCCCUGCCGCUGACCAGGAAGCCCUCUGUGCUCCCAUAGCCCCUUCAGAAACAUGUGACCUCCUGAGUCCUAAGUCUUCAGCAGAAACAGCAGCUGCCCCAUAGCUCGAGUGGCAGCAGGACCCUCUCUGCCCUGGUCUCCACUCAGUGCUGGAAGCCUGGCUCACAUUCUCUCUACUCCCAUCAGCCUGAUAUCUUCAAGCAAGGAUUUCUUGGGGUUUAUCUCACCAGAUGCAAUCAACUCAAAU
This 552-nucleotide long non-coding RNA is filed under the name Pongo abelii (Sumatran orangutan). RNAcentral describes it as "lincRNA". Lineage: Eukaryota; Metazoa; Chordata; Mammalia; Primates; Hominidae. The record is from RNAcentral.